Molecule: ribosomal RNA, 447 nt
Filed under: uncultured bacterium
Lineage: Bacteria
Description: bacterial SSU rRNA
Rfam family: Bacterial small subunit ribosomal RNA
Source: RNAcentral
UGCCAGACUCCUACGGGAGGCAGCAGUGGGGAAUAUUGCACAAUGGGGGAAACCCUGAUGCAGCAACGCCGCGUGAGUGAAGAAGUAUUUCGGUAUGUAAAGCCCUAUCAGCAGGGAAGAAAAUGACGGUACCUGAGUAAGAAGCCCCGGCUAACUACGUGCCAGCAGCCGCGGUAAUACGUAGGGGGCAAGCGUUAUCCGGAUUUACUGGGUGUAAAGGGAGCGUAGACGGCGAUACAAGUCUGAAGUGAAAGCCCGGGGCUCAACCCCGGGACUGCUUUGGAAACUGUGUUGCUGGAGUGCUGGAGAGGCAAGCGGAAUUCCUAGUGUAGCGGUGAAAUGCGUAGAUAUUAGGAAGAACACCAGUGGCGAAGGCGGCUUGCUGGACAGUAACUGACGUUGAGGCUCGAAAGCGUGGGGAGCAAACAGGAUUAGAUACCCGCGUAA